Molecule: ribosomal RNA, 253 nt
Filed under: uncultured bacterium
Lineage: Bacteria
Description: partial 16S ribosomal RNA
Rfam family: Bacterial small subunit ribosomal RNA
Source: RNAcentral
UACAGAGGGGGCAAGCGUUAUCCGGAAUUAUUGGGCGUAAAGCGCACGUAGGCGGUUCGUUAAGUCGGAUGUGAAAGCCCUCGGCUCAACUGAGGAAGUGCACCCGAAACUGGCGAGCUUGAGUACGAAAGAGGAUCGCGGAAUUCCCGGUGUAGAGGUGAAAUUCGUAGAUAUCGGGAGGAACACCGGCGGCGAAGGCGGCGAUCUGGGUCGAUACUGACGCUGAGGUGCGAAAGCGUGGGGAGCAAACAGG